GAUGAACGCUGGCGGCGUGCCUAAUACAUGCAAGUCGAGCGAACGGACGAGAAGCUUGCUUCUCUGAUGUUAGCGGCGGACGGGUGAGUAACACGUGGAUAACCUACCUAUAAGACUGGGAUAACUUCGGGAAACCGGAGCUAAUACCGGAUGAUAUUUUGAACCGCAUGGUUCAAAAGUGAAAGACGGUCUUGCUGUCACUUAUAGAUGGAUCCGCGCUGCAUUAGCUAGUUGGUAAGGUAACGGCUUACCAAGGCAACGAUGCAUAGCCGACCUGAGAGGGUGAUAGGCCACACUAGAACUGAGACACGGUCCAGACUCCUACGGGAGGCAGCAGUAGGGAAUCUUACGCAAUGGGCGAAAGCCUGACGGAGCAACGCCGCGUGAGUGAUGAAGGUCUUCGGAUCGUAAAACUCUGUUAUUAGGGAAGAACAUAUGUGUAAGUAACUGUGCACAUCUUGACGGUACCUAAUCAGAAAGCCACGGCUAACUACGUG
This 497-nucleotide ribosomal RNA is filed under the name uncultured bacterium. Its description in RNAcentral is "partial 16S ribosomal RNA". It matches the Rfam family "Bacterial small subunit ribosomal RNA", at positions 28 to 507 of the family's 1533-position model. The record is from RNAcentral.